This 639-nucleotide long non-coding RNA is filed under the name Panax ginseng (ginseng). RNAcentral describes it as "long non-coding RNA (PGIN_LNC016452)". The record is from RNAcentral. Lineage: Eukaryota; Viridiplantae; Streptophyta; Magnoliopsida; Apiales; Araliaceae.
CUGAAUGAGCCGUAGUGCACUGACAGACAAUUGAUUGGCAUAAUCAUGACCAUUGGUUUUAUAGUUGAUUAUCUUUGGCCCAUAGUGCAAAGAUAGACAAUUGAUUGGUAUGAUCAUUGUUAUUACAUUUGAAUGUCUUUAUCCUUUGGGGCAAAGAUAUUGAGUGAAAGUUCUAUUAAGCAUUUGUGACAAGGAGAAACUGUUGAUUUAUAUGAUUAUGAACAUGAAUUGUGAAUUCAACUAUAAUAAUUGGUGUUAUAGGUGAAGACAGGUAAUGAAAGUUCUCUUUGUCUUGGGUACAACAAAGAACUGUUGAUGGGUAUUACAUGAUUGAAAUAUUAAUGAUGGACUUUUAAUUUGGGGAAGAUAGUAGAUAUUAUGUUCUACUUGACUCUUCUAAUGGAUUGUUGAUUUCGCUGCAAUUAUGGUUGAACACUUUUAUCAUCUACCAUAUGUUCUAAAUAUCUGAUUUAUUACUGAUGAAGACUACUGAUAAUUUGAUUAUCUUUAAUCAUAAUUAUAUUCUUUAUUGGGCUAUUUGUGCUCAUACUUUUGCUUCACAAUUCCUUUCAGGUAAUAAGAGUGUAGCUGGGUCGAACGUGAAUAUCAGGGAAAUAUAGUGAUGGUCUGUAAUUGUUG